UACGUAGGGUGCGAGCGUUAAUCGGAAUUACUGGGCGUAAAGCGUGCGCAGGCGGUUUUGUAAGCCAGAUGUGAAAUCCCCGGGCUUAACCUGGGAAUGGCAUUUGGGACUGCAAGGCUUGAGUGCGGCAGAGGAGACUGGAAUUCCUGGUGUAGCAGUGAAAUGCGUAGAUAUCGGGAAGAACACCAGUGGCGAAGGCGGCUACCUGGCACAUAACUGACGCUGAUACGCGGAAGCGUGGGGAGCGAACCGG
This 253-nucleotide ribosomal RNA is filed under the name uncultured bacterium. RNAcentral describes it as "partial 16S ribosomal RNA". It matches the Rfam family "Bacterial small subunit ribosomal RNA", at positions 524 to 776 of the family's 1533-position model. The record is from RNAcentral.